RNAcentral lists this ribosomal RNA (548 nucleotides) under uncultured bacterium. RNAcentral's name for it is "partial 16S ribosomal RNA". It matches the Rfam family "Bacterial small subunit ribosomal RNA", at positions 355 to 895 of the family's 1533-position model. The record is from RNAcentral.
UGGGGAAUUUUGGACAAUGGGCGAAAGCCUGAUCCAGCAAUGCCGCGUGUGUGAAGAAGGCCUUCGGGUUGUAAAGCACUUUUGUCCGGAAAGAAAUCCUUGGCUCUAAUACAGUCGGGGGACGACGGUACCGGAAGAAUAAGCACCGGCUAACUACGUGCCAGCAGCCGCGGUAAUACGUAGGGUGCAAGCGUUAAUCGGAAUUACUGGGCGUAAAGCGUGCGCAGGCGGUUUGCUAAGACCGAUGUGAAAUCCCCGGGCUCAACCUGGGAACUGCAUUGGUGACUGGCAGGCUAGAGUAUGGCAGAGGGGGGUAGAAUUCCACGUGUAGCAGUGAAAUGCGUAGAGAUGUGGAGGAAUACCGAUGGCGAAGGCAGCCCCCUGGGCCAAUACUGACGCUCAUGCACGAAAGCGUGGGGAGCAAACAGGAUUAGAUACCCUGGUAGUCCACGCCCUAAACGAUGUCAACUAGUUGUUGGGGACUUCAUUUCCUUAGUAACGUAGCUAACGCGUGAAGUUGACCGCCUGGGGAGUACGGUCGCAAGAUU